GACCCAGUAGCGAAAUACAUCGCGCCUGCAUUCUAUGUGGAAGCUAUCGACAGGGUAUUAGAUGCGGGAGGUCCCUGUUCGAAUCAGGGCUGGGUCA
Molecule: non-coding RNA, 97 nt
Organism: Mycena filopes
Lineage: Eukaryota; Fungi; Basidiomycota; Agaricomycetes; Agaricales; Mycenaceae
Source: the annotation of a GenBank genome assembly